UAUCUCCCACAAAACUAGAUCUAGCCGCCCAUCCAGGUCUCUCCAUCUGUACUGUCCUUCCCUAUCCUUUCUUUUCUCGGGGGUUGUGAAUAUUGUUCAUAUGUUAGAAUACCAGGAAUUGAAGUUUGCUAAACAAUGAAGAAAAUGCUUCAAAAAUAGGGGGAUUUUUAUGGGAACAAGUUCUGCUCUCCUGCUGCCAAGAAGGCCGAUGCUGUUGACGUGGAGGCGUGAGAGUCGUUGGAUGUGAUCUGUUCUGCUAGUUUAUACUGUUUUAGUUUAAUGUGGUUAAUGGGAUGCAGGUCUAGGCUGUAGUAGUCUAGUCGUAAAAGUUCAGUAUUUUGGGUGUUUAGAUGGAUGGUUAAAUUUGAACUUGAUAGACAGCUGGGUGGUUUGUGCUUUUGCUAUAAAUUUUAACAGACUUAGGUACUUUCAUCUUUAUUCUUACUGUCAGUCUUAUACUAUAUU
Molecule: long non-coding RNA, 465 nt
Organism: Daucus carota subsp. sativus
Lineage: Eukaryota; Viridiplantae; Streptophyta; Magnoliopsida; Apiales; Apiaceae
Exons: 3
Source: RefSeq, a predicted model, not a curated record